GCCGGGCGUGGUGGCGGGUGCCUGUAAUCCCAGCUACUUGGGAGGCUGAGACAGGAGAAUUGCUGGAACCCAGGAGGCAGAGGUUGCAAUGAGCCGAGAUCACGCCAUUGCACUCCAGCCUGGGUGAUAGAGCAAGACUUUGUCUCAA
This 148-nucleotide non-coding RNA is filed under the name Homo sapiens (human). The record is from Rfam by way of RNAcentral. Lineage: Eukaryota; Metazoa; Chordata; Mammalia; Primates; Hominidae.